CCUACGGGCGGCAGCAGUGGGGAAUAUUGCACAAUGGGCGCAAGCCUGAUGCAGCCAUGCCGCGUGUGUGAAGAAGGCCUUCGGGUUGUAAAGCACUUUCAGCGGGGAGGAAGGCGGUGAGGUUAAUAACCUCAUCGAUUGACGUUACCCGCAGAAGAAGCACCGGCUGAACUCCGUGCCAGCAGCCGCGGUAAUACGGAGGGUGCAAGCGUUAAUCGGAAUUACUGGGCGUAAAGCGCACGCAGGCGGUCUGUCAAGUCGGAUGUGAAAUCCCCGGGCUCAACCUGGGAACUGCAUUCGAAACUGGCAGGCUAGAGUCCUGUACAGGGGGGUAGAAUUCCAGGUGUAGCGGUGAAAUGCGUAGAGAUCUGGAGGAAUACCGGUGGCGAAGGCGGCCCCCUGGACCAAGACUGACGCUCAGGUGCGAAAGCGUGGGGAGCAAACAGGAUUAGAUCCCCGGGUCGCC
This 466-nucleotide ribosomal RNA is filed under the name uncultured Klebsiella sp. Its description in RNAcentral is "bacterial SSU rRNA". It matches the Rfam family "Bacterial small subunit ribosomal RNA", at positions 338 to 795 of the family's 1533-position model. Lineage: Bacteria; Pseudomonadati; Pseudomonadota; Gammaproteobacteria; Enterobacterales; Enterobacteriaceae. The record is from RNAcentral.